CAAUCACACUGCUAUGGUCACAGACUUGUAGACUCAACUUCUCAAAUCUCAUAGGAUUACUUCUCUUUAUCAAGGUCAAUAGAUUCCAUCUAGAUGCAUACCUUACUUGAUAGCUCAACCAACUGAAGUCAACAUCCAUUACAAAAACUCAUGAUUGAGUCAAUGCUUAUGUAUAGUCAAAUUAUAGCAGUCUUAUUGUGAGCAACUAUAACACCAC
RNAcentral lists this long non-coding RNA (217 nucleotides) under Elaeis guineensis (African oil palm). Its description in RNAcentral is "long non-coding RNA (EGUI_LNC033632)". Lineage: Eukaryota; Viridiplantae; Streptophyta; Magnoliopsida; Arecales; Arecaceae. The record is from RNAcentral.